GUGGACAUCACUAUUUUAUUGUCUUGUUGCUUGGUAACCUGUAUAAAAACACAAUACAAAACAUGCCAAGGAAAUAUAAGCAAAAAAGGAAGUCAAGUACAUGUGGUCAUUUUACCUUUUUGAAAUCUAUCGCUCACAAAUUCAAUAAUACUUCCAGAAUGGUCUCCAUGCCACGUGCAGCAGUAAAACAGGUCUGUCAAACAUGCGGCCAAUGAAUUUGGCUUGCAGCACCUUGUGUGCCAUAUGGUGUUUGUGCGGCCAUGGAUGCCCAUUGGAUCUGUGGGGGACUCGGAAGGGCUCUUAGAUAAGGGGCCCUAAGCCCUUUAAUACUGCACUGGACUAGGACCUUGUCAUAGCAUUCGUUCCCCCGGAGACCUGCUGGGAGGAACAGAGUUCAGGUCACUUCAUCCCAGCUCGCUGUUUCAGUUUAUCUGUAGGUGUGUCAGCAGUGGUGGAACUUAAGCAGAUAGGGGCCCUGGUGCAAGAGUUAUUUUGCAUUCCUAUCACAAGGAUGAAGAAAAAAAUAAAAUACAUUAGUUUUAAAAAGUAGCUCCCCAUAUGUUGUACAACUCCCACAAUGCGUUACCAGCUGGGCAUUGUCACUGCUUACCUUAGUUGGGAGUCUGGUAGGCAGAGAUUUGUGCUCACCCUUGCAGAUAAACACAACCCACGGUAACCAGAUCAGAAGCUACCUGGGCUGUGAGUCUGGGCACAAGGGCAUAGGCAGGAACAGUAACCAGGCACGAGGAAACAGACAAGGGGAAAUCCAGAAGAGUAGUCAGACACUGUUUCAAAAGUCAGGGCAGGCAGCGAACAGGCAAUAACGAAUAAUCCAAACAGAAAGGGUCACAAACCAAGUCAGGCUUAGGAAACAGGAUACAAGAAACAACGAACUGGCAAUGUCCUCAGGGAGGGGCAGUGUUUUAUACCCAGCUAAUGAGUGAACUGCCUCAGGUGAACUUAAAUGGACAGGUAGGAGCCACUGGUGAUGUCCAGCCCCCUAGUAUUACAGACAAUAUCAGGAAAACAAGGUUAGACCAAAGUUCAGAAGUGGCUCAGAGGCAAGAACUCAGACUUAGGAUGCAGAAGGCCCAGGUUAAAAAUCCUCUGUUGGCCCCAUCUGGGGUGACCCUGUUUGGAUGGCACAGUGAGAACCGUGACAGGCAUCUACCACUUCCCCAUCCUUGCAGGGUUGUAUUUAGCACUGAGAAGUGUUUGCACAUUUGAAAGUUUUUGUAUUAAGUGUGUGUGAAUGUAGGGGUGUAUUUGUGUGUAAUGUGUUUUUAAGUACGGUUUCCAUUUGAAAGCAGUGGUUUACUUGUGUGUAGAGUUUGCCAUUGAAUGUAAGUAUGUGUCUA
Pelobates cultripes (western spadefoot toad) is the source of this 1358-nucleotide non-coding RNA. NCBI's taxonomy places the organism in Eukaryota, Metazoa, Chordata, Amphibia, Anura, Pelobatidae. The record is from the annotation of a GenBank genome assembly.